Molecule: ribosomal RNA, 433 nt
Filed under: uncultured bacterium
Lineage: Bacteria
Description: partial 16S ribosomal RNA
Rfam family: Bacterial small subunit ribosomal RNA
Source: RNAcentral
AACGAACGCUGGCGGCAUGCCUAACACAUGCAAGUCGAACGAGACCUUCGGGUCUAGUGGCGCACGGGUGCGUCACGCGUGGGAACCUGCCCUUAGGUUCGGAAUAACUCCCCGACAGGGGUGCUAAUACCGGAUAAUGUCUUCGGACCAAAGAUUUAUCGCCUUUGGAUGGGCCCGCGUUGGAUUAGCUAUUUGGUAGGGUAAAAGCCUACCAAGGCGACGAUCCAUAGCUGGUCUGAGAGGAUGAUCAGCCACACUGGGACUGAGACACGGCCCAGACUCCUACGGGAGGCAGCAGUGGGGAAUAUUGGACAAUGGGCGAAAGCCUGAUCCAGCAAUGCCGCGUGAGUGAUGAAGGCCUUAGGGUUGUAAAGCUCUUUUACCCGGGAUGAUAAUGACAGUACCGGGAGAAUAAGCUCCGGCUAGCUCCGUG